RNAcentral lists this ribosomal RNA (1419 nucleotides) under Microtrichalus sp. MK0861. Its description in RNAcentral is "SSU rRNA". It matches the Rfam family "Eukaryotic small subunit ribosomal RNA", at positions 1 to 1344 of the family's 1831-position model. Lineage: Eukaryota; Metazoa; Arthropoda; Insecta; Coleoptera; Lycidae. The record is from RNAcentral.
GACAACCUGGUUGAUCCUGCCAGUAGUCAUAUGCUUGUCUCAAAGAUUAAGCCAUGCAUGUCUCAGUACAAGCCAAAAUAAGGUGAAACCGCGAAAGGCUCAUUAAAUCAGUUAUGGUUCCUUAGAUCGUACCAACAUUUACUUGGAUAACUGUGGUAAUUCUAGAGCUAAUACAUGCAAACAGAGCUUCGACCGGAGACGGAAGAGGCGCUUUUAUUAGAUCAAAACCAAUCGGCGGCGGGUUCGCUUGCGGGCUCGUCGUCGUUUUCACUGACGAAUCUGAAUAACUUUCUGCUGAUCGCACGGUCUCGCACCGGCGACGCAUCUUUCAAAUGUCUGCCUUAUCAACUGUCGAUGGUAGGUUCUGUGCCUACCAUGGUUGUAACGGGUAACGGGGAAUCAGGGUUCGAUUCCGGAGAGGGAGCCUGAGAAACGGCUACCACAUCCAAGGAAGGCAGCAGGCGCGCAAAUUACCCACUCCCGGCACGGGGAGGUAGUGACGAAAAAUAACGAUACGGGACUCAUCCGAGGCCCCGUAAUCGGAAUGAGAACAAUUUAAAUCCUUUAACGAGGAUCAAUUGGAGGGCAAGUCUGGUGCCAGCAGCCGCGGUAAUUCCAGCUCCAAUAGCGUAUAUUAAAGUUGUUGCGGUUAAAAAGCUCGUAGUCGAAUCUGUGUCCCGCGCCGCCGGUUCGUCGCUCGCGGCGUUUAACUGGCGUGUCCGCGGGACGUCCUGCCGGUGGGCUUAGCCUUUUCAUUAAGGCGGCCCAAUCUUAAUCCCGCCGCGGUGCUCUUCACCGAGUGUCGAGGCGGGCCGGCACGUUUACUUUGAACAAAUUAGAGUGCUUAAAGCAGGCUAAAACUUCGCCUGAAUACUUCGUGCAUGGAAUAAUGGAAUAGGACCUCGGUUCUAUUUUGUUGGUUUUCGGAACCCCGAGGUAAUGAUUAAUAGGAACGGAUGGGGGCAUUCGUAUUGCGACGUUAGAGGUGAAAUUCUUGGAUCGUCGCAAGACGGACAGAAGCGAAAGCAUUUGCCAAAAACGCUUUCAUCGAUCAAGAACGAAAGUUAGAGGUUCGAAGGCGAUCAGAUACCGCCCUAGUUCUAACCAUAAACUAUGCCAGCUAGCGAUCCGCCGAAGUUACUUCUAUGACUCGGCGGGCAGCUUCCGGGAAACCAAAGCUUUCGGGUUCCGGGGGAAGUAUGGUUGCAAAGCUGAAACUUAAAGGAAUUGACGGAAGGGCACCACCAGGAGUGGAGCCUGCGGCUUAAUUUGACUCAACACGGGAAACCUCACCAGGCCCGGACACCGGAAGGAUUGACAGAUUGAGAGCUCUUUCUUGAUUCGGUGGGUGGUGGUGCAUGGCCGUUCUUAGUUGGUGGAGCGAUUUGUCUGGUUAAUUCCGAUAACGAACGAGACUCA